RNAcentral lists this ribosomal RNA (301 nucleotides) under uncultured bacterium. RNAcentral's name for it is "partial 16S ribosomal RNA". It matches the Rfam family "Bacterial small subunit ribosomal RNA", at positions 509 to 807 of the family's 1533-position model. The record is from RNAcentral.
CAGCCGCCGCGGGAAUACGUAGGUGGCAAGCGUUGUCCGGAAUGAUUGGGCGUAAAGGGCGCGCAGGCGGCUGUGUAAGUCUGUCUAGAAAGUGCGGGGCUAAACCCCGUGAGAGGAUGGAAACUGGACAGCUGAGAGUGUCGGAGAGGAAAGCGGAAUUCCUAGUGUAGCGGUGAAAUGCGUAGAUAUUAGGAGGAACACCGGUGGCGAAAGCGGCUUUCUGGACGACAACUGACGCUGAGGCGCGAAAGCCAGGGGAGCAAACGGGAUUAGAGACCCGUGUAGUCCCUGUCUCUUAUAC